AGUAGUUUCGUAUCCGUGGCUACGAGGACGACGCUGGCGGCGUGCUUAACACAUGCAAGUCGAACUGAAAGGCCUGCUUUGUGGGUGCUCGAGUGGCGAACGGUGAGUAACACGUGAGUAACCUGCCCUUGACUUUGGGAUAACUUCAGGAAACUGGGGCUAAUACCGGAUAGGAGCUCCUGCUGCAUGGUGGGGUUGGAAAGUUUCGGCGGUUGGGGAUGGACUCGCGGCUUAUCAGCUUGUUGUGGGGUAGUGGCUUACCAAGGCUUUGACGGGUAGCCGGCCUGAGGGGGUGACCGGCCACAUUGGGACUGAGAUACGGCCCAGACUCCUACGGGAGGCAGCAGUGGGGAAUAUUGCACAAUGGGCGGAAGCCUGAUGCAGCAACGCCGCGUGCGGGAUGGCGGCCUUCGGGUUGUAAACCGCUUUCGCCUGUGACGAAGCGUGAGUGACGGUAAUGGGUAAAGAAGCACCGGCUAACUACGUG
RNAcentral lists this ribosomal RNA (487 nucleotides) under uncultured Propionibacterium sp. RNAcentral describes it as "bacterial SSU rRNA". It matches the Rfam family "Bacterial small subunit ribosomal RNA", at positions 1 to 507 of the family's 1533-position model. The record is from RNAcentral. Lineage: Bacteria; Bacillati; Actinomycetota; Actinomycetes; Propionibacteriales; Propionibacteriaceae.